RNAcentral lists this long non-coding RNA (482 nucleotides) under Mytilus galloprovincialis (Mediterranean mussel). Lineage: Eukaryota; Metazoa; Mollusca; Bivalvia; Mytilida; Mytilidae. The record is from RNAcentral.
AUUUGUGUUGAUCUGGAAAGUAGAGGAUCAUAGUAUAAAUAUGUAAAACUAUGGAGUUUUUUUAAUGUAUUCAAAGUAUUAAAUUUUCAAAGAAAUUGUUGUGUGAAAAAAAAUCGCACUUCGUAUUCCGAAAAUUUAACCACAUAUAUGUGAAAAUGUCUUAGCUUCGAAACAAGCAAUCCUACAUAUCCAGUGUACUAUAUUCACUGCGCUAGAGUAGAAAACAUUACCAAUACCAACUACAUGUAUGCAGAAACAAUUGCGCAAAUUGCCCAGCUGAUUAUAGGGCAGAAAACCAACAUUUGGAAUGACAUGUACAAUGUAUACAACCAACACAAGACUAAAAUUUGGAAUAAAAAUUAAAAAUUCAGAAACAAACUAUUAUUUUUUUUAUUGGUUCAUGUAGCUACAUGUACAUUGUAAGAAAAAAGAAGUCUUAACUUUUGGAUGGGUCUAUCAUGUUGGUCUCUUGUGGACAGUUG